UACGUAGGGUGCAAGCGUUGUCCGGAAUUAUUGGGCGUAAAGAGCUCGUAGGCGGUCUGUCACGUCGGCUGUGAAAACCCGAGGCUCAACCUCGGGCCUGCAGUCGAUACGGGCAAACUAGAGUACUGCAGGGGAGACUGGAAUUCCUGGUGUAGCGGUGAAAUGCGCAGAUAUCAGGAGGAACACCGGUGGCGAAGGCGGAUCUCUGGGCCAUUACUGACGCUGAGGAGCGAAAGCGUGGGGAGCGAACAGG
Molecule: ribosomal RNA, 253 nt
Filed under: uncultured bacterium
Lineage: Bacteria
Description: partial 16S ribosomal RNA
Rfam family: Bacterial small subunit ribosomal RNA
Source: RNAcentral